UUACCACUAAGGCCUUGUUUGGUACUAGUGUUUUUGAAGAGAUUGGUGGGGAUAAUCCCCCAAGGGAUUGGGUGAAACCCCAACCUUCACCCAAUCCCUCCAAAUCCCCAUUUAUCCCCAAUACACUAGGUAGGGGUAGUGUAUUGGGUAUUGAGAAAAAUGCAUUAUAAUUUGGGGAUUUGAGGGGAAAUGCGGGGAUGAAACAUGUCAAAUACACUAGAACCAAAUGGUGUUAUGGGAUGUGUGGGGAUUGAGGGGUUUGACCAGGAUAAUCCCCACAAAUUUCCUAAAAUACACUAGUACCAAACAAGGCCUAAGAGUGCAACCGACAUGAAUGGUAAAUAUCUAACUCUUUUGCACACUUCCACCUACCCAUGUAUUUUUAAGGUUGUUAUUCUUGCAGUCUCAGUUCUCUUUUUAACAUGACAUUUUGUUCAGCACUACAAACAACACGAACUCAGGAAAUAUUUCAGGACAAGUGGAACAAUGCCACCAAGAAAAAUAUAUAUCAAAGUAGUAUGCAUCAUAUAUAUGAAGGACAAGGAGAGGAGGACGGCAGCCAAGGAGAGGAGGAGGGCGGCGACCGAGGAGAAGAAGGUGGUCAUGGAAGAGAGAAUCAAAAGCAUUGAAUAAGAGCAAACGUUCAUUUCCAUGGACAUAAGUGGUCUUGAUGACAGAGGUCUAUGGGAGGCUUCAUGAUGGGAGGAUCCAUGGGAGGCAUGGGAGGAUUCAAGUGCCAUGGGCGCCAUGGGCGGUGCAAUGGAUGGAAUGAAAAACAAUGGUGUAAUGAGUUGCUUCCAGAUCCCAAUGACCAUAUGGGCGCCAUGGGUGGUGCAAUGGAUGCAAUGGAAGACUGAAUCUGGCAUUCACCUCAACCUCCAGCAUUUUGUGAACAUGCGACAGUGGCUUCUGGAUUUAUUAACCGAAGCUUCAGACGUCCAUGCUACGUACUGCUUUUACGGUCUGCAUUUGGCACGCAUUUGGCACAUUUGGGAAGCAAGAAAUAGCUCCCGCGACGGGGAAGCAAUGAGGCACGCACGCUUGACGAGCUGCUGAGAAAAGAAAAUCAAGGUCUUAUGUGGAGAUGACCAUGCGGUCCACCUUCAAAUAAAAUGGUGGCAUUGGAUAAGAAGCAACCAAUGGAGGAGAGGAAAGCAAGCCAUGAAGACAAUGCGAGCGAGCGCUGGUAACGGCAAUGGAGGCGAUGCCAUUUGAGAGGCCAUGCGUUCGUUCGUGUUUUUACGCACCUUUCGUUUUUGUUUGCGAUUGCAAACUGAUUGUGGAUUGGAUUUGAACUUGGUAUCAUAUUAUCAUGCCGUGUUGUUGAUUGUGUGUGUUGUGAUCUUUCGAAGUUUUAAUUAUCAUGCCAUGUUUUGUUUCGACAUGUGUGCAAUUGUGGAGUGGUAAAGAGAAAGUUGGC
RNAcentral lists this long non-coding RNA (1420 nucleotides) under Hordeum vulgare. Its description in RNAcentral is "long non-coding RNA (HVUL_LNC021448)". Lineage: Eukaryota; Viridiplantae; Streptophyta; Magnoliopsida; Poales; Poaceae. The record is from RNAcentral.